AUGUUUUAUAAACAAGCAAUUUCCGCGGUGCAUAUUGCUCUAGAUAACAAUUGUAGAGAAAGUGCGGAACUUGAGGUUCCGCGUUUGCCAAAUUCUGUCCUAACUGCUCUUGGUAUAGAGGAGCCCCUGCCAGCGGGCGCUCGUAUAUGCGAGUGUGCGUGUAGACGAAGUUGCCUGGGCGAUGCUUUUUUCAUCGCUCCAAACGCACAAGUGGAUGCUUCAGGGGAGACACUACUCACACCACAGUUAAAAAGGUGCGUGGGGGGAGGCCCUGGUAAGAAUCACUGCACCAGGAGGGAGAGCAAUUGCCAAACCUCUCUAUACCUGCCCCUGAAACCCAAUGCUUCCAGAAACCCCAAUGCCCUGACGUGCCCCUCGCGCAGGGCUGACAGGCCUCACAGCGCCCCGACAGGGCUUCCGCUCCCCCGGCCCUCCCCGCGCUGCCCGCCAGCUCGGACCCAAUCCGCGCCCUCGACCCCCUCCCGCUAUGGCGGCCGGCAGGGGCCGCGCGACCGGAAGUGCCGCCGCGCACCGCCCCGGCUUCCGCUCCCCGCUCCCCGCAAGACGACGGGGAGCCGCUGGGAGGAAAAGACGAAAACGGCGGUGAGAACGUCAGGAAGACAGGCCAAAGGGGAUCACGGAGGCAAUAAAAAGACUUUAUUGUAUUCUUAAAUGAAGGGGAAAGAACGCGCGUCUGGACCAAAAGAAAAACAAAUGGAAAACGUCAACAUCACGAGGACAACGAGGGCAAAGGCGUGUGUCUGGAAGAGCCCAGAGCAAAGAGCACGCUGUUUCCCACAGACCAUCAUUUACACAAACAAACUGCACGGAUGGGGGGCCUUCUCUCCCCUUUAUCACUUUGUUUAGUUUAUCUGGCCAGGAUGAUGCAAAACAAAGCCAAGAUGAAGCAGGAAGGACAGCCACCCCCCGUGCAGUCCUUCCAAGCGCUACGUCACUAGGU
Molecule: long non-coding RNA, 961 nt
Filed under: Dasypus novemcinctus (nine-banded armadillo)
Lineage: Eukaryota; Metazoa; Chordata; Mammalia; Cingulata; Dasypodidae
Description: lncRNA (ENSDNOG00000050116.1)
Source: RNAcentral